ACACGACGGGUCAUUUAGUUUCGCUUAGUUUGUUGUUUGCUUGCUGUUCAGUCUGAAGAAUGUUCAGUUUCAUUGGUAAAAGUGCAGUACAGACUACAGGUUGUGUCGGUUUAUAACGUGUCACGUAUGAUUCCCUGCAAUAUCGACGAAUAACCGUCGGACAACAGUUCGCGUAGUUGGAAUAAAUCUGCCAGCGAUCACACCACGGCUUCGGUGUGUUGUGUCGGUAUUCGAAACAACGGACCUAGUAAACAUUGACAAAGUGCUGGAUGAUUUAGAAUUGAAUGAGGAUGACGGGCGCCGCAACUGCCAGAGAACGAUUGACACCAGAAUGCUAAUUCAACGCGGAACGGACUCUUUGAAUGGAGGAAAGUCGGAACCAACGUCGGCCAGUGCACGACAAACCUAAGUUGAAGGAAAACGAAAAAUCUCGGCUGCGGGACAUCGUAAUUACGUAGCGAGGCUCCUCGACGCAAACGCCGACGGUGGUCAGUAAUUACCGAAAUAAUCAACUUCAACUUGCGCGGCCAGCACGUCCGCAUGGCCGAUACCCGGGCGAACAUCUGCUACGCUUUACGCCGAUGUAAUGGUUUCUCAGCCCAUGCUGCGAAGAGUCCCGGCACCGACUCAAGCGAGCCGGAGCACAAUGACAGAGGAAAGCGUAAGGCGCGAUGCUGUGUAAGAAUUGAAUGCGCCAAAAAGGAGCACCGUUCCGCGAAAACGAUUUUACAUUUGCCACCCAACAGCGUUGUUCGCUUGCUGGUGUUUGCUUCGGUGGCCGCAGGAGUUGUCGGCCGAGAAGAAGUAAUGCUCGCCCAGCGAGGAAAGGCAACGCAGUCGCAAAGGCAGCCCAUAGAACCGGAGUCAGCUGAGACGAUGAAGCUGCUCCUGACCCACGACGAUCGAUCAUAUGAAGCACCACAGAUGGUAGCCCUUCGGAUGAUGCUGUUAAGGAUGAUCAAACCACUUCUGAAGCCACCUUAAUGGUAGUUUCAGUUCGACUCAUCUAUUUCGUCGGAUUCGCAAACAUCGUCGAUUGCCAGAGCGUUGUUGCUUCUCCGAUAGGUCAUCCGAACCCACCUCUUAACCGAUAGAUUAUA
This is a long non-coding RNA of Anopheles cruzii, 1100 nucleotides long. RefSeq lists it as uncharacterized. The record is from RefSeq and is a predicted model, not a curated record. The transcript is spliced from 3 exons. Lineage: Eukaryota; Metazoa; Arthropoda; Insecta; Diptera; Culicidae.